RNAcentral lists this small RNA (998 nucleotides) under uncultured bacterium. RNAcentral describes it as "bacterial SSU rRNA". The stretch from base 1 to 476 matches the Rfam family "Bacterial small subunit ribosomal RNA", at positions 1045 to 1533 of the family's 1533-position model. The record is from RNAcentral.
AUGGCUGUCGUCAGCUCGUGUCGUGAGAUGUUGGGUUAAGUCCCGCAACGAGCGCAACCCUUACUUUUAGUUGCCAUCAUUUAGUUGGGCACUCUGAAAGGACUGCCAGUGAUAAGCUGGAGGAAGGUGGGGAUGACGUCAAGUCCUCAUGGCCCUUAUGUGUUGGGCUACACACGUGCUACAAUGGUAUCUACAACAGGAAGCAAAACAGCGAUGUUAAGCAAAUCCCAAAAAGAUACCUCAGUUCGGAUUGCACUCUGCAACUCGAGUGCAUGAAGCUGGAAUUACUAGUAAUCGUGGAUCAGCGUGCCACGGUGAAUACGUUCCCGGGUCUUGUACACACCGCCCGUCACACCAUGGGAGUUGGUUCUACCUUAAGGCAAAGCUUAAAAUCUUUGACCACGGUAUAGUCAGCGACUGGGGUGAAGUCGUAACAAGGUAGCCGUAGGGGAACCUGCGGCUGGAUUACCUCCUUUCUAAGGAUGAUUGAAAGUAAAAUUUCAAUCUAAAUAAUAAACAGGUUAAUGUUGACCGUCCUCAUUUCUCUUCUUAAAAUAGUGUUUCUCUUCUGCAUGGGGGCCGGUAGCUCAGUUGGUUAGAGCACACCCUUGAUAAGGGUGGGGUCGAUAGUUCGAGUCUAUCUCGGCCCACCAAAUUAUUAUGGGGGAUUAGCUCAGCUGGGAGAGCGCCUGAUUUGCAUUCAGGAGGUCAGCGGUUCGAUCCCGCUAUCCUCCACCAAGAAACACUUAGUUAUUUUUUUUUGUGAAUAUUUAAUAAUUUAUAUCAAUAUCUAUAUCCGAACAUUAAUUCAUUUAUUAAUGUUCAAAUAAAAAAUUUGAUUCAACACAGAAUUUUUUUCUGUGCAUAAAUCAAGCGUUUAAGGGCGUGUGGCGGAUGCCUUGGCACUGAAAGCCGAUGAAGGACGUGGUAUACUGCGAUAAGUUACGGGGAGCUGUAUGCAAGUUUUGAUCCGUAAAUUUCCGAAUGGGGAAACCCGG